RNAcentral lists this ribosomal RNA (200 nucleotides) under Lacticaseibacillus paracasei. Its description in RNAcentral is "Lactobacillus paracasei partial 16S ribosomal RNA". It matches the Rfam family "Bacterial small subunit ribosomal RNA", at positions 1 to 177 of the family's 1533-position model. The record is from RNAcentral. Lineage: Bacteria; Bacillati; Bacillota; Bacilli; Lactobacillales; Lactobacillaceae.
UUUAUAUGAGAGUUUGAUCCUGGCUCAGGAUGAACGCUGGCGGCGUGCCUAAUACAUGCAAGUCGAACGAGUUCUUGUUGAUGAUCGGUGCUUGCACCAAGAUUCAACAUGGAACGAGUGGCGGACGGGUGAGUAACACGUGGGUAACCUGCCCUUAAGUGGGGGAUAACAUUUGGAAACAGAUGCUAAUACCGCAUAGA